This 255-nucleotide ribosomal RNA is filed under the name uncultured soil bacterium. RNAcentral's name for it is "partial 16S ribosomal RNA". It matches the Rfam family "Bacterial small subunit ribosomal RNA", at positions 26 to 285 of the family's 1533-position model. The record is from RNAcentral.
AGGACGAACGCUGGCGGCGUGCUUAACACAUGCAAGUCGAGCGAUGAACUCUCUUCGGAGGGGGAUUAGCGGCGAACGGGUGAGUAACACGUGGGCAACCUGCCCUCAGCUCUGGGAUAACUCCUCGAAAGAGGGGCUAAUACCGGAUACGACUUCCCCUGGCAUCGUGGGGAAGUGGAAAGUUUUUCGGCUGAGGAUGGGCCCGCGGCCUAUCAGCUUGUUGGUGGGUAAUGGCCACCAAGGCGACGACGGGUA